GGUCUUUUAGUUUAAUUAAAAACAUUAAAUUGCAAAUUUAAAAAUGAUUAGAAGUCUAAGACUU
Molecule: transfer RNA, 64 nt
Filed under: Warodia hoso
Lineage: Eukaryota; Metazoa; Arthropoda; Insecta; Hemiptera; Cicadellidae
Also listed under: 2 other names
Description: tRNA-Cys
Rfam family: tRNA
About the family: Transfer RNA (tRNA) molecules are approximately 80 nucleotides in length.
Source: RNAcentral